AUUGCUAAGCUUUAAGCUAAGUAUAAAAGCUAUGUUGAACUGAGGUGAACUUAGCAUGAUCAAUUGAAACAGUUGUAGAAAUCAGUGGUUAUUGAUACACGCAACAACAUAAUGCAGACUUCAGGAAUGCAUGUGUUUUGUUUCUUUGGAUCUUCCUUGUGUACAAAGGAUCUGGACUACAACAUUUUGUUGCAUGUAUUUUGUUCCCCUUGACAUUUCUCCAGAGUGUCAGGAAAGCCACUGGUGCCAAAGCCUGCUUUCCUCUUCCCAGCCUGCAGGGAUGCAGACAACAGUCACCUGUGGGCCCAGGGACUGACCAGAGAGGUGCAGACACAGCUUGACUAACGAGCACCAAUUAAAAAUCUGACCUGGUGCAACCUAGCACAGGGAGGAAGGGUGGAAAUUACAGGUGAGGAGCAAAAGGAAAGAAAGCUUUUGAACCCAGGGGCUGUGUUCCAGUGGGCACAAAGGAGUGGUGGAAUGUGGCUGAUGCUUACCUGUCCUCUCCGAGACAGAGUGAUCCUGAGGGUCACACCAGUGCCCUGGCUGCUCAUCUGAUCAGACUGAUUUGACAGAAACAGUUGACGAGGGAUGGAUGUACUCCCUUCCAGGCUGUGUUCAACCAGCACUGCAGUCUCCAGCUUGAUGUCUUAUGCUAUGCCAGCUCUAGAAAGGAAUUUGUCUUCAUCUUAUCAUUGCCUCUUGUGUGGAUGUGGUGGCUUGGCCUGGCUGCAGGUGCUGGAAUUCAGUAAAGUGGUGGAAGGUUUUAUAAUCUACAAAGCGGUGGUACCUGAUGCUUCAUUUGGAAUGCUAUAA
RNAcentral lists this long non-coding RNA (816 nucleotides) under Phasianus colchicus (ring-necked pheasant). RNAcentral describes it as "lncRNA (ENSPCLG00000019137.1)". Lineage: Eukaryota; Metazoa; Chordata; Aves; Galliformes; Phasianidae. The record is from RNAcentral.